UGGGGAAUAUUGCACAAUGGGCGAAAGCCUGAUGCAGCAACGCCGCGUGAGUGAUGAAGGUCUUCGGAUUGUAAAGCUCUGUCUUUUGGGACGAUAAUGACGGUACCAAAGGAGGAAGCCACGGCUAACUACGUGCCAGCAGCCGCGGUAAUACGUAGGUGGCGAGCGUUGUCCGGAUUUACUGGGCGUAAAGGGUGCGUAGGCGGAUGUUUAAGUGAGAUGUGAAAUACCCGGGCUUAACUUGGGUGCUGCAUCUCAAACUGGAUAUCUAGAGUGCAGGAGAGGAGAAUGGAAUUCCUAGUGUAGCGGUGAAAUGCGUAGAGAUUAGGAAGAACACCAGUGGCGAAGGCGAUUCUCUGGACUGUAACUGACGCUGAGGCACGAAAGCGUGGGUAGCAAACAGGAUUAGAUACCCUGGUAGUCCACGCCGUAAACGAUGAGUACUAGGUGUAGGAGGUAUCGACCCCUUCUGUGCCGCAGUAAACACAUUAAGUACUCCGCCUGGGAAGUACGAUCGCAAGAUUAAAACUCUAAAGUGAAUUGAC
Molecule: ribosomal RNA, 545 nt
Filed under: uncultured bacterium
Lineage: Bacteria
Description: partial 16S ribosomal RNA
Rfam family: Bacterial small subunit ribosomal RNA
Source: RNAcentral